AUUUUCCGUAGGACAUUUGCAAAGUGCUGCAUGGGCUGUCUUCAGCUCGUGCCGUGAGGUGUUGGGUUAAAUCCCGCAACAAGCGCAACCCUUAUCAUUAUUUGCCAACACGAAAGGUGGGAACUCUAAUGAGACUGCCUGGGUUAACCACGAGGAAGGUGAGGAUGACAUCAANUCCGCCUGGGCUUUAUAUCUGGGGCUACACACGUGCUACAAUGGUCGGUACAAAAGGCAGCAAGACCGCAAGGUGGAGCAAAUCCCUAAAGCCGAUCUCCGUUCAGAUUGUAGUCUGCAACUCCACUACAUGAAGUUGGAAUUGCUAGUAAUGACGUGUCAACAAUAACGUCGUGAAUACGUUCCCGGGUCUUGUACACACCG
This 378-nucleotide ribosomal RNA is filed under the name uncultured bacterium. RNAcentral describes it as "bacterial SSU rRNA". It matches the Rfam family "Bacterial small subunit ribosomal RNA", at positions 1014 to 1392 of the family's 1533-position model. The record is from RNAcentral.